This 778-nucleotide ribosomal RNA is filed under the name uncultured bacterium. RNAcentral describes it as "bacterial SSU rRNA". It matches the Rfam family "Bacterial small subunit ribosomal RNA", at positions 28 to 773 of the family's 1533-position model. The record is from RNAcentral.
GACGAACGCUGGCGGCGUGCUUAACACAUGCAAGUCGAACGAAAAGAGGGAAAGAGCUUGCUCUUUCCGGAAUUGAGUGGCAAACGGGUGAGUAACACGUAAACAACCUGCCUUCAGGAUGGGGACAACAGACGGAAACGACUGCUAAUACCGAAUAAGUUCCAAGAGCCGCAUGGCCCAUGGAAGAAAAGGUGGCCUCUACCUGUAAGCUAUCGCCUGAAGAGGGGUUUGCGUCUGAUUAGCUGGUUGGAGGGGUAACGGCCCACCAAGGUGACGAUCAGUAGCCGGUCUGAGAGGAUGAACGGCCACACUGGAACUGAGACACGGUCCAGACUCCUACGGGAGGCAGCAGUGGGGAAUCUUCCGCAAUGGGCGAAAGCCUGACGGAGCAACGCCGCGUGAGUGAUGACGGCCUUCGGGUUGUAAAACUCUGUGAUCCGGGACGAAAAGGCAGAGUGCGAAGAACAAACUGCAUUGACGGUACCGGAAAAGCAAGCCACGGCUAACUACGUGCCAGCAGCCGCGGUAAUACGUAGGUGGCAAGCGUUGUCCGGAAUUAUUGGGCGUAAAGCGCGCGCAGGCGGCUUCCCAAGUCCCUCUUAAAAGUGCGGGGCUUAACCCCGUGAUGGGAAGGAAACUGGGAAGCUGGAGUAUCGGAGAGGAAAGUGGAAUUCCUAGUGUAGCGGUGAAAUGCGUAGAGAUUAGGAAGAACACCGGUGGCGAAGGCGACUUUCUGGACGAAAACUGACGCUGAGGCGCGAAAGCGUGGGGAGCAAAC